This is a long non-coding RNA of Mya arenaria, 496 nucleotides long. RefSeq lists it as uncharacterized. The transcript is spliced from 3 exons. Lineage: Eukaryota; Metazoa; Mollusca; Bivalvia; Myida; Myidae. The record is from RefSeq and is a predicted model, not a curated record.
UCAAUGCUGGCACUCAAAACUACGAGUUAAUCUGGUAGAGUUAUGGAGAAAGCAUUUGCUAGACAUUUCAUACAAUUACUAAGGAUUAUAACAAUGUGGUGCAGCAGUGGAAAUUCCAACUACUUACUUCAAACAGCUGCAGUGUUAUAUGAGUCAGAGGACAUUGACACACUGGAGCCUGGUUGUUAACAACAUUUGGACCUGAAGAUGUGCAGAGGGUUAUGUAGGCGACCCAACUGAGGCUGGGGGUUCAUGCUGACGCAAGGAGGAGGAGGUGGACAGCCAUCCCAAUGUGGUUGUCUCCCCUGAUUGAGUGGAGGGGCCAGAUUAAACCUCAUGUGUUGUUUAUCAGGUAGGAAUUGGCAGGUUUAAGACCUUUAAUGGACAGAGUUCCUAGCUCUAACUGAUUGUGCAAACACGAAUCCUCGCUACUCUACUGACCUUGUACGAGAUGACAUUGGCAGAUUCUGCUUAAUUUUACUUGUUGAAUAAAAAG